GCCGGGAUAGCUCAGUUGGUAGAGCAGAGGACUGAAAAUCCUCG
This 44-nucleotide transfer RNA is filed under the name Plagiopus oederianus. Its description in RNAcentral is "partial tRNA-Phe". It matches the Rfam family "tRNA", at positions 1 to 43 of the family's 71-position model. Rfam says of the family: Transfer RNA (tRNA) molecules are approximately 80 nucleotides in length. Their secondary structure includes four short double-helical elements and three loops (D, anti-codon, and T loops). Further hydrogen bonds mediate the characteristic L-shaped molecular structure. tRNAs have two regions of fundamental functional importance: the anti-codon, which is responsible for specific mRNA codon recognition, and the 3' end, to which the tRNAs corresponding amino acid is attached (by aminoacyl-tRNA synthetases). tRNAs cope with the degeneracy of the genetic code in two manners: having more than one tRNA (with a specific anti-codon) for a particular amino acid; and 'wobble' base-pairing, i.e. permitting non-standard base-pairing at the 3rd anti-codon position. The record is from RNAcentral. RNAcentral also lists the same sequence under 8 other names. Lineage: Eukaryota; Viridiplantae; Streptophyta; Bryopsida; Bartramiales; Bartramiaceae.